This is a long non-coding RNA of Grus americana (Whooping crane), 3422 nucleotides long. RefSeq lists it as uncharacterized. The record is from RefSeq and is a predicted model, not a curated record. The transcript is spliced from 5 exons. Lineage: Eukaryota; Metazoa; Chordata; Aves; Gruiformes; Gruidae.
CAGGCUGGAGAGAAUCAUGGUCCCAGGGAGUCCUCACGCACCUUCCAGCAUGUCAGCAGUCUUGACCACUACACAUCUUUUGCGAUCCCAGGCUGUCCACACUGCUCUCAGGAAAGAAUGAUAAAGCAGAUUGAUUCGUGCAGUAAUAGACAGAGCUCGGGAACGGUGACAAACACAAGAGAAACCAGUCUUUGACUUGGAGUGUUUUCCCACUAGCCAGAAGUCCGGGCAAACGUGACUCCUGCUCCUCUGGCCAGGCAUCUCCGGUACUGGCCACUCACGCCUGCCACCUCCCUGCAUCCCCUCCCUUCUUCCCAGAAACCCUCCAUCGACAUGGAUCGUGAACUGGCUCAGCAAGGUGCAAACAUCAUCUUGAACACGAGUGUAAUGCUUCAGGACCUUUCCCCUGAGCCAUCCUGCCUUGUACUGCCAGCAAACUUGAACUGCGGGGGGACAGCAGUGACUUCUCCAGGCUCUAGCAUGGCUUGACAGAGUAAGAACAGGCCCAGGACAAGUGUAUUCUCCCACUGCCGAGGUGUUACCAUGGGGAUCUUGUCUUCUGUCGGUCAGAGUCUUCCCUUUUCUCCACAAAACCUGGAUUAAUCUCUGUGAAGCAGCUGCAGAACAAAAGCUUAGACACCCAUGAAAUCUUCCGUCUGUGCCAGCCGCACCAGUAGCACCGGGGCACAGAUCUUCCCUUUACGGGCUCGAGGGAGAGAGGUUCUUCACCAUCAUGUCAUGCCUUUUGGCUCGUCUGACUUUUCUGAAACCACUGGAACGGAGAUGCCACUGCGCUGCUGAAGAAGACCAUCCACUGGUCACUUCAGCGUUCGGUGACCCAGGGCAAAGACCAGACCUGCUCCUGGGGAUGAAUUCAGGGCAGGACCGAGGACUUCCCCGCUUCCCGGGUCUGGUCUUACACCUUGGCUCUGGGCUGAGGUGGACAGUGUUUCUCUGGCUGGCUCUGGGCUCUUGAGUACUUUGGGGCCAAAGUGUGGUCUCUAAUGAUAAAUUAAAUGAAACCUUUGCUGUUUCUGUGACCUCCACAAAUAGGAGGAAAGUGAAAACAGAGGCGAGAGUCAAUCAGCCAGUGGUUACAUUGAAGAAAAUGGUUCUCUGUGGAAAGCAUGAAAGAGAAAACAGACUGGGUGCUGGGACUGAAGAAAGGAAAACAAGACUAGUGUGGUUUUGAGGCCUUUUACUUUAUUUUGAUCCUUUCAUAAAGUAUUUUAAAUUUAUAAAUAAUGGAAUAAAAAAGACCCCAACAAAACUCAGCUAAAUGAUCUUGAGCCCUCAAGCCUCAAUCAAAAAAUAAACACUAUAAUUCUUUUAAAAGGAAUUAGUAAUGCACAGUUAUAGUAUUCCAUGUUUAAAAAUAAAGCUGUUGAAUAAAUGAACAAUACCUUGGCUGAAAAGUAUUUCAGCUGAAGAGUGAAAUCCCUGCAGAGAGUGAUCUGUGAGAUUCUGCAGGAAAUCUGCAUUACAAUACACCAUUUCCAUUUCCAGGGAGGGACUCACAGAAGGACACAUGGAGGAGAAAAAAGAAAUGAAAAAGCCCCAGUCCUUUAUGCCUAGGUUGUAGGGGGCCUUGGCCCAUCAUUCUCAUGCUAAACAGUUACUUUUUCUACAGGUACCCAACUGAAAUGGGAAUAUUUUUCGAAGGAACAGUGAAUGUGAAAAAGGCUAACAGAAUUGGUUCUUUGGUUAAAGAAAACUGUCUCCAUAGCUUGCCUAGCUACAGCAGACAUGGCUUUACCUCUCUGCCUUGCUGCAAAUGAAGUAAGGAGCGUGUCCAAAUGUGGUAAGCACUGGGCUACUGUGCUGCUCUUCGUCUUACUCCUCCAUUCCAGCUGCUCCACCUCUUGUUACUAAUUAAAUAUCUUCGCAGUGGAGGAAAAGUUUCUAGCUAGAUCAUUAGCCCACUGGUCAACCAGCUCAUGUGGGAUGUGGGAGGCUAGGGUCCUCAGGCUGGUCCAGUGACAAUCUGGUGUUGCUCUUCUCCAGUGCAGGGGACUACAGUUGGCCUCCCCUAGGCUUGAGCCUUCUGGCUGUAAUUUAGGAGCUGGGGCAAUGGCCAUCCAGGGACUUGGAUACACAGAGUAUUAUGUCCUGGCUGACUGCCCCUAUCUGAAGGCCAGUAUUCAAUGGGCCAGCCUCGCUUGUGUGUGGAAAAACUUACACAGGGCUGGUUUCCUUUUGCUGCAGAGUGGGAAAAUUUGUGAAAUCUCAGUUAAAUUUGUGGGAUAGGAAAAAGGGAAAGCCAGCAAGUGGAAGAAAAAGGAAUAAAAUUCCUGGCUUCUAGUCCCUAGGCUAUUAAGCAAGCCAUAGCAGAGUGUGACUAGGUCACUGGCGUUAGCAUGUUCAUGUGGUUACACAGGUGAACAUAACGCUAAACAUAUAGGGCUGUCUGCACCAUGCACAGCAUGUGUAGAAAAUGUUUUGGCAGAUGGAAGGAGUGGGCCCAUCAGCUGCCUAAAUCUAUUUGUUGCAUUUUCUACCAUAACUAAUACAAUGGGCUGCUACCCUCUUGCAGGAGAUGAAGACGGUCCAAGUAGAUGCUAUGUUUCUGCUUCCUUAGUAUAUCAUUACACAGAGAGGUUUCUGAUUGGGAAUAUAUUUAAAGGAAGAAAACCACAAAGCAAUCAGGAUCUGGUUAUUUCUGCUAAUCAGAGGUUUGGUUUGAUCCCAAAUAGACACAAAAUUUACCCAGAGCCUCCACUCCCGGAAAGCACUGAAGAUCAGUCACAAGCAUUUCCUAUGUUUUCCCUUAGAAUCUUUUGCUUAUAAUUUAUUGUGGCCUGCAUAAUACCAAAAUAUGAUAAAGGAAUAUAAUAAUUGGAAAUUUCUGCUUUCACACAAAUAUCUGCCUUCAUACAUGGAUUUAUUCACAUGUACAUGUGUAUCCUGUUGCAUGUUCUUAUGUAGGUGCAUAUAUCUAUGAUUUUGUGCAUUUAUGUUUGUGCGAGUGUGUGUAUGAAGGCAAACAUUUCAAAUAUGUGUGUAUGUGAGGAGGCAGAUUUAAAAGCAUACCUUACAUGGUAUAAAAUACAUUGCUACAUAAAUCACAGAAAGAAUUCCAUCUCUAAAUCAGAGUACACUCCAGAAAGAGCAAUUAUAGCCUCUAAAAUGUUUCUGUUAAAUUCAUGAGACACCAAACAAUUUUAUUCAUGUUAUCAUCUACAGUUGCCUGAAAGUGUAAAAAAAAAUCUUAGCCACUAGCAGAGAAAUGUGCAAAAUACUAUCAAAGGAGUGGCAAAGGUCACUUCUACUGCCUGCCUUUUUAUGAGUUUCAUUUUUGUCUUUUUUUUUUUUCUCAUUGCAGUUUGUUUGUGUACAUUGCUAAACCUUAAUGGAAGAAAAUAUGAAGGGGCAAAAUAAAUAUAAAGAAACAGACUGCUGUUCAACAGUGCUGAGCUGGUAUU